GGGGGUAUAGCUCAAGUGGUAGAGUGCAUGCUUAGCAUGGACGAGGUCCUGGUUUCAAUCUCCAAUACCUCCA
Molecule: transfer RNA, 73 nt
Organism: Camelus ferus (Wild Bactrian camel)
Lineage: Eukaryota; Metazoa; Chordata; Mammalia; Artiodactyla; Camelidae
Rfam family: tRNA
About the family: Transfer RNA (tRNA) molecules are approximately 80 nucleotides in length. Their secondary structure includes four short double-helical elements and three loops (D, anti-codon, and T loops).
Source: Rfam